AUACGUAGGUGGCAAGCGUUGUCCGGAAUUAUUGGGCGUAAAGCGCGCGCAGGUGGUUCCUUAAGUCUGAUGUGAAAGCCCCCGGCUCAACCGGGGAGGGUCAUUGGAAACUGGGGAACUUGAGUGCAGAAGAGGAUAGUGGAAUUCCAAGUGUAGCGGUGAAAUGCGUAGAGAUUUGGAGGAACACCAGUGGCGAAGGCGACUUUCUGGUCGGUAACUGACACUGAGGCGCGAAAGCGUGGGGAGCAAACAGGAUUAGAUACCCUGGUAGUCCACGCCGUAAACGAUGAGUGCUAAGUGUUGGGGGGUUUCCGCCCCUCAGUGCAGCAGCUAACGCAUUAAGCACUCCGCCUGGGGAGUACGGUCGCAAGACUGAAACUCAAAUGAAUUGACGGGG
RNAcentral lists this ribosomal RNA (397 nucleotides) under uncultured bacterium. Its description in RNAcentral is "partial 16S ribosomal RNA". It matches the Rfam family "Bacterial small subunit ribosomal RNA", at positions 523 to 918 of the family's 1533-position model. The record is from RNAcentral.